Molecule: non-coding RNA, 4864 nt
Organism: Miniopterus natalensis
Lineage: Eukaryota; Metazoa; Chordata; Mammalia; Chiroptera; Miniopteridae
Source: RefSeq, a predicted model, not a curated record
UUAUGCUGAGCAAAAUAAGCCAGGCAGAAAAAGACAAGUACCACGUGAUCUCAUUUAUAUCUGGGAUAUAAUGAGUCAAGGCUUAGAUACAGAAAAUCAAGAGCCUCCCAGUAGGCACUGAAAAGAACACUACCCAACAAAGAGAGAAACUAACUUAAAAGAAGACAGAGGUGCUCAAAAAAGCUGCGCUGUUUGACUUCGGUUAAUGUCAAGGGGAAAGAGCUAGACAUUCUUCAUCAUCACCCAAGGAAAUCAUUGCGCAAGACUUAUAAUUAUUGUCUUUGUCAUUAGGGAAAGGUUAAAUUAUGUGUGUAUUAGGAUAUUCUGCUUAAGGAAUUUGGAAACAGUUCAUUUAGCUAAAGUCAUCAAAAUGGUUAAAAUGAGCAAGAGUGAACCACUUCCUGAUGUUUCCCGAGUACAAAAGUCUAACUUCCAUUCAUUCUCUUCCCCUCCCUCCUCUUUCCUACACACACACACACACACACACAUUUGAUUUUAUUUAAAAUACUUAUUUGCUGUUUGACUUGUUUUAGACUAACUUUCCCACCAUGGUGGGCCUCUAUUUUAAGGAAAUACAGACAUAAUAAGACAUUGGCUCCUUGAAAGUAAUCUAAAAUAUUUUCAUUUAUUUAUUAAAAGAUGCUUUGGUGUAUAUUCAUUAUUCAUUUAAGUCCAGUCACCUCUCAAUUAUCUCUGGUAAUAGAGAGUAAGGACACAAUGAACUGAGGAAAUCUAUUCUUAGUCCCCAAACACAACUCUCAAUCUCCUCUCUGUGAGUUCUACACGACAGCAGUGUUUCCUUCCCCCAUCGUUGUAGACUCGUUUCAAUCAUGGAAUGACCUUUAAAAAACAACCCAAGAGGGGAAAGAAGCAAAGCACAGGAUGAUAUUAAAUCCUCUCCUAAAAUUAAGAUAACAAACGAAAUCUUUAAUAAUAUCCAAGAAAACAAACUGGGGUGAUUUUUCAAAUACUGUCUCUGGAACCGUGGGUCACUUCUAGAUAAAAGAGUUGAUUGCCCUUUAUUAAACUGCACCAACUAUUUUGCAAACCGUUUAAUCAUUUUAAAAGCCAGCUCCUUAUAAGAGAAGCAUAAAUGUGGCUUAACCUUCAAAAUAGCAGUUAGCUCUUAAAACGCGAAUGAUAUCAUUAUACAUUUUAUAAUCUGCAGAUGAGGUCAAGGAAGUCUUCAUUUAAUAACACUGUUAAAUACAGAAUUAACAAAGUCUUACAAACAUGUCACCCAGACUGUCAGCAUUAGAACAAGUUUCCUUAACUAGCAAUAAUAUUGACUUUUUUUUUUUUUUUUACUAAGUGUGAACAGCAUUUAUCCAAGGAGGAAUCAAUAUUGAGCUGAAACUCCAAGGCCUUAAUAGCUAAUCCUAAAGAACAUCACUCAGCAGAGAUUUUGGGAUGGUGAUUAGCAUAAAUGCAAAGCUGCAAAGAUCAGAUCCUAGUCAGAUGAGAAUUGUGUACAGAAAUCCAUGUUCCUCAAAAGUAGAUGAGGGAAGAGGAGAGGAGCAACCUGUAAUGUGGCUCUGAGAACAGCUCCUAAAGACAGGACAAGGCAGCUCAUCUACGGAUGAGACUCAAGCUCUGUAACCUAAGCUGUGGAAAGAGAGACCAUCUGGAAAGAUCGCUGCGGUUUCACAGAGCCAGUGCGCCCGCCCCCCUCCCCUUUAUGGAUGGAUGGCGAACAUGUUGAGAUGACAGAGUUGGGCAAAUUGUCUUAGGAGAGAAAUCCUCCGGCAGUUCCAGGGUGCUGGUGUUCGGGACAUUUCUGUGCAUUUUUGUCAGAUGGGUAAGGAGGCCCAUAGGCUUUUUGUGAACUUCUGAGCUUCCAGAAGGCUUUUAUCUGCAGCUCAGUUUUAACUGAGGAAUGUAUGGGAUUUGCCACCUUGCAAAAUGGCGUGGCCAAGAGAGGAAUCUCUUCACCAUUUUCCUUGUGAGAAAUUAAGUGCGUCCUGCAAGUCAUUAACGAGACUAUAUAUUUGUGCUUUAUCCUGAUAUCGCUUCAUUGGAGUUGUCACAACCUUCAAUGGCAUUAAUUGAAUUUCAGGUGAAAAAACAAGGUUUAAUAAGGAGAAAUACAGCAAUUUUGCAGCUUUCAUGAUCCUAAAAGAGGUAUACUAUUUCAGCCCAUUAAUGGGAGUAAAAUAAACCAUCGUGAGAAAUAAAUCUACGAGUGAAUGUUACUGACUUUGACAGCCAAAUGGACACUGUCUCUAGAAAUUGAAUCUGAAAGCCAAACAGGUUUGUUAGUGUGAUUAUUAAAACAAUUGCCACCUUCUGGUGCAAAGUGAUGUCAACAGUGGACAAUCAAGCAAUGCCCUUUGCUUUGGUCCAGUCAAGCGCGCAGAGCCACCGUGAAAUAGGAUUGGACGGGACCUUUCAUUCCCUAUGAGAAUUAAAUCUCUAAGUGCAGCGGAGAGGAGGUGGCUUAUCCCCCUGCCCCCAGCAAGCAGCUAGACAGGAGUCUGCGGGAGGCCGUAUUUUUUCUUACCCAUUCCUUAGUGUGUGCACUUAUAUGUUACCAAGUAUUAUCGCAAUUCAUUUAGUCUUUACAUAUAGUUCCAUCAGAAAAGAAAAAAAAAAAAAAAAGGCCAGAGUUUUCCCAAAGGCUUUAUGACUUACGAAAUUACAAUUCUACAUCUAAGUUGUUUAUGAAGAAUUGAAUGAAAGGUCACAUUUCUUUGGCUGCACACAAGCUCCCAGCUGCUGUGGCAUCUUGGUGAGGGAGCAGAGCUCCACUCUGGGUUUACUGCAAGUUUCCCCAGAAAGAGCCACAUGCAUGUAAUUUGUGGCAAACCUCAGUUAUGAAGAUUCUCCUCUUCCCAGCAAAGUCAAGUUCGUAGCUGCACAAGAAAGAAACGCCACAUGUAUUCAAUGAUCAAAUGCCCUACACUGUGAUUAAACGUAUUUUGCAAAUAACAAUUCUACAGCAUAGUCCCUUGGAUUUAAGACCCUACUAACCUUAAAUGAAUUCAAAGUAGAAAAACAGAUAUGAGUUGUGUAAAUGCCUGUCUUUUGCAUCUCACAAAAUUAUCCUGUGUCAAAUCUAUUAUUAAUGCUUUUAGUUUUUAAAAUUUCACACAUUUACCACGUCUCGAGCUUCGACAGUUGAUAAAGCAAAUACAAGACUAAAAAUAUAAUCAAAGACUAGGUGAUCAAUAACACAUUUCUUCCCCAUCAGAUUAUUUCUUCCAUGUACAAAAUUCCUGUUUGACUUUUCAAUUAUUCAAAAUGUCAGAAUGAUAGAUAUAAGAGAGUAACCAACUAACUAGGGAAAUCUCUGCCUAAUAAUAUGCAAUAUAAAGAUUCAGAAUGAUGCUGCUUGAUGGAUUAAACUUUCCCCUGUUCUGCCUCAUUAGGGCUCUCCCAAUGAGAUCCAAUCCAAACCUAUUACUUAAUAUAUAUCUAACAGUGAAAUUGCAUAAGUGUGCACUAGUACAAUAGAAGCUAAAUGAGCAGUUUCAGAUAAUUUAAUUAAGUUGUAGGUCUUCUAAUAUAAUUGCAUAAGUAUGUGAACUUUUAACUUGUGUUAACCCAAUUUCCUUAUGCUUUCAUUUACCAUUUGUUGGGGACAUUAUAGUGAUUAGCCAAAGUCCUUCCAGCUACUAAUGUUCUCCAUAAAUUUUGAUUUAAAUUGACUGUCACUUUCUCACUAUAAUAAAGUAGAUAUUUGACAUCUCAAAAAAGAGAACUAGUCUAGUAUAUUAUGUUGUCAAGAAAUGGAACUUUUUUUCUCUAUCACACAAGAUCCACAUAAAAUUUACCUUAAUAAAGGCCAUUAAGAUCAGUCAGAAUGAAGUGAAUACUACAUAUUCAUAGACAUGUUCAUACUUUAGAAGUUUUUGAAAAAAUAGGCUCCUAUGUACCCUUGGUAAUUGGAAACACACAUGAUAUCCUGUUCCCAUAUAAUUGUGUACUGGGUGGCUCUCAGUAUCUACCCGUUGAGUGCAUUCAGGAACCCAGGGUAGUAAGAUAGAAAACUAACUCCUAUUGUACGUCAGUUGAGGUCAAAGACAAGAGUUGGCCAAAUGGGCUAAGCCCAGAUGUAUCUCCCACACUACCUUAGCUCAGGUAACUAAAGUAACAGAUUAUGCCACUGUACCCUGAAACUUUUCAAGGAAUAUAUUUAUUUUGAACCCAGCUUUUUAAAAAGUAAAAUUAUGUUCUCACAAAUGUAUAUUUACCCCCAACUGUCUUUAAUUCUAACAAAAUGACUCAGGCAAUAAGGUUCUGUUAUCGCCAAUUACUGCCCUUGAAGUUAUCUAGACAUUCCAAAAAUAGAGGCCUCAGUUCAGCGUCUGGAGUGACCUAAAAAAUUCAGGAAUGUUGUCCAGGUUCAGUGUUGCACUUUCUGUGCUGAAUGGGUCAAGAGCCUGUGGGGCAGCGAGAGCUCCUUAAAAAUCAUCAGGAAGGCUGUCAGAUAAUUGGAUGCAAGGGACAAGGAAUGUCAGCCCCUCUGGCCCACAGUUUCCCAUAAAUGACUGCUUUCACAGUGUGUUUGGCCAGAGUCUUCAGGAGAGAUGGCCUUUUAAAAGGAUUUUUAUACACAGAUGUAACCCUCCACUGUAGAACCUUCCUGGCACCCAUUCAAGAUGAAAAUUACCUUAAGUAAUAGUAAGAUUAACUGAAGUUUAUUGGGCAUUUACUAUAUGCUAAGCGAUUUAUCAGCAUGCUUUUCACUUAUUCAUACAAUGACUCUUGAGUUAGCAACUAUUAGGACCCCUGUUUUAUAAAUGGGAUACCUGAGGUGCAGUGAAAUUGAUUAAAUUAGUGAGGCAGCCCAAUUUUGGAGCCCAUGUUCUUUUUUUUUUUCUUUUUUAAUAUAUCUUGAUUGAUUUCACAGAGAGGAAGGGAG